UGAGUACGAGACGCUAAGGCGUCGAAGUAGUGUAUGUCAUACUUCCAAGAAAAGCUUGCACUAUCAUAGAUAAAAAACGCCUGUACCAUAACCGACACAGGUGGGUAGGUAGAGUAUACUAAGGGGCGCGAGAUAACUCUCUCUAAGGAACUCGGCAAAAUAACUCCGUAACUUCGGGAGAAGGAGUGCCUUAUUAUUAAGGUUGCAAUAACAAGAUCCAAGCAACUGUUUAUCAAAAACACAGGUCUCCGCUAAGUCGUAAGACGAUGUAUGGGGGCUGACGCCUGCCCAGUGCCAGAAGGUUAAAGAAGUUGGUUAGCAAUUGCGAAGCUGAUAACUGAAGCCCUGGUGAACGGCGGCCGUAACUAUAACGGUCCUAAGGUAGCGAAAUUCCUUGUCGGGUAAGUUCCGACCCGCACGAAAGGCGUAAUGAUUUGGAUACUGUCUCGGAGAGGGGCUCGGUGAAAUAGACUUGUCUGUGAAGAUGCGGACUACCUGCACCAGGACAGAAAGACCCUAUGAAGCUUUACUGUAACUUGAAAUUGAAAUUGGACUUUAUUCGCGCAGUAUAGGUGGGAGGCGUUGAUUAUAAUCUUGCGGGAUUAUUGGAGCCAUCAGUGAGAUACCACUCUUGUAAUGUUAGAUUUCUAACUUUGAAUCAUUAUCUGGUCAAAGAACAGUUUCAGGCGGGCAGUUUGACUGGGGCGGUCGCCUCCUAAACGGUAACGGAGGCGUACAAAGGUUUCCUCUGAACGGUUAGAAAUCGUAUCUAGAGUGUAAAGGCAUAAGGAAGCUUGACUGUGAGACCUACAAGUCGAGCAGGGACGAAAGUCGGUCUUAGUGAUCUGACGGUACUGAGUGGAAAGGCCGUCACUCAACGGAUAAAAGUUACUCUAAGGAUAACAGGCUGAUCUCCCCCAAGAGUUCACAUCGACGGGGAGGUUUGGCACCUUGAUGUCGGCUCAUCGCAUCCUGGGGCGGUAGUACGUCCCAAGAGUUGGGCUGUUCGCCCAUGAAAGCGGUACGCGAGCUGGGUUCAGAACUUCGUGAGACAGUUCGGUCCAUAUCCGGUGUAGGCGUUAGAAUAUUGAGAGGAGCCUUCUUUAGUACGAGAGGACCGAGAAGGACAUACCUCUGGUGUACCAGUUAUCGUGCCAACGGUAAACGCUGGGUAGCUAUGUAUGGAGUGGAUAACCGCUGAAAGCAUCUAAGUGGGAAGCCCACCUCAAAAUAAG
This 1235-nucleotide ribosomal RNA is filed under the name metagenome. RNAcentral's name for it is "bacterial LSU rRNA". It matches the Rfam family "Bacterial large subunit ribosomal RNA", at positions 1564 to 2808 of the family's 2925-position model. The record is from RNAcentral.